Pan troglodytes (chimpanzee) is the source of this 86-nucleotide non-coding RNA. NCBI's taxonomy places the organism in Eukaryota, Metazoa, Chordata, Mammalia, Primates, Hominidae. The record is from Rfam.
CACCUGCUGCUGUAAGAAUAUGUUUGACAUUUAGUUGGUUCCUAAUUAAACAACCCAAUAUCAAACAUAUCACACAGAAGCAGGCA